Molecule: non-coding RNA, 28 nt
Filed under: Rattus norvegicus (Norway rat)
Lineage: Eukaryota; Metazoa; Chordata; Mammalia; Rodentia; Muridae
Source: RNAcentral
UGGGGACUACAAACAAACGUGCCAAAAC